Molecule: non-coding RNA, 2919 nt
Organism: Myodes glareolus (Bank vole)
Lineage: Eukaryota; Metazoa; Chordata; Mammalia; Rodentia; Cricetidae
Source: RefSeq, a predicted model, not a curated record
GUGUGGAGUGGAUGUGGGACAGGCCUCAUGCUUGGCACAGGGGACCCUAGUCUGCACUCAAGUUGUGUCCCCUCUAGGAAAAAAGGAAGACAAGGUCAGGACAUCUUGAGCCAUGAGCAGACCAUUCCUCAGGUGGCUGAACUUUCCUGGAAGGAUGUUAUUAAUGCCUUGUCCCUGGCCAACAUGGUCCUGGGGCUCUUCUCCAUCUUCUGCAGCUUCAGCAGGAAAUCCCACUGUGCUUCCUGGAUGCUUUUGAUCAGCUUCCUGUUAGACAUGGCAGUAGGGACGAUGAUCAGGCACCUCAACAUCUGCCACAAAUUAGGACUUGAACUGAAUGACUUCGCUGUCUUCACCACCUUUGGCCUGGCCUCGGCUCUGCUCCUUGGUGUGGAUGGGCCUCUGAAUGGGUUCCUGGCCGUCAUCUAUGUGUUAACCACUUCCUUCCGCCUGUGUUUUUACUCAACUGGAGGUCCCUCUGCAUACAAAGGUCUACCUUGUCCCUAUGCUUCCUGUGUUUUGGCCUCCACCUGCCUACUGACAAAGGGCAACACAUUUAUACUCUGCUGCAUGGCUUCACUCAUGAUUCUGUUCAUGAUCGACCAGAGUUGCUACCCACAUGAUGAAAUCCUGGAGUCAGAGAACUGGAAAAAAGUGGUUUAUACGGGAGGUGUCAUCAUGCUGUUUUUCUCCCCGUUCUCGCUCACUGCCCUCUACUGCCUGAUCUGGUCGCUCUCCUACAUCUUCUUCCCAGAUGCCCUGUGGGGCAAGGGGUGGAUAUUUAUACAUCAUCAACCAGGAGAAAGUACAAGAGCCAGGUGCUGGGAUGAGAGUCUGUAACCACAGCACUCAAGAGGAUCUCAAGUUGGAGGCCAGCUUGGACUACACAGCAAACUCUGUCUCAAAUAGAGAAGAAAAGACAAGAAAUAUCCUUUUAAAAGUCGAGCAGUUAGGGGGCUGGGGAAGUGCUCAAAAAACCAUAUUUAUUUAGCUGGAAGUCCAGAACUCUGUCCAUUUACCCCUUAAAGCGAAGAAGCAUGGUCGGGCCUGAUUUUGUGAUUGGCUGUAAUCCCACCACUCAAGAGGCAGAUGUAGGAGGAUUACAAGUUUGAGGCCAACCUGGACUAUGUAGUGAGAUGUUGUCUAAAAAUAAGACAAAUAAAACUUGGGCGAAGGGGCAGAGACAAAGGCUGAUUAUGACUGCCAAUACAUAGGUCUAUAGGAGAGGUAAGUUGUCGUGUUUCAGGGUGAGAACAUUUAUAAUAAUCUAUUAUAUAUUCAAAAGAGAGGAGUUUGAAGGUUCCUAACACAAAUGAGCGAUGAAUGUGUAAGGAGUAUAUGUGUGUGUGUGUGUGUAUGUGUGUGUGUGUGUGUGUGUGUGUGUGUGUGCAAGAGAGGAAACCUAGAGCCUUGUCAGAUGGAUGAAUUCCAGUGUCUUAAUUACUACACCACUCCAUACCCAAAGCAGAGUGUGAGACAAGCCCUUCAACACGAGAAUUUUCAGGUGGAUAUCCAGGAGAAGAAAAGGGUUUCCUGUGUCUAGGUUUCCAGUGGGGCAUCUUGGAGGAUUUUGUAGUAAAGAUGGUUCAGAACUGCUCCUGGGAUUCCUUAGAACACGACGUAUGGUAAACAAGAGGGAUGCCCACAGACUAAAUAGGCUGCUGAGCCUUUGUAUAGACUCUCAGACAGUAAGCAAAGAGCUGCUGGGGCCCUACUGCCUGCUGACAAGUCUCAGCUACACUGAAAUUGGGAGACAGAUCAGCCCUCAACAGAGGACCCAGUGCAGGCCACAACCGACAUCUGCUAGACUCAAAACCCAGUGUUGACUGAGAAAAAGAAACCCCAGGGACGUCUGUAUGACCAGUACAUCUUCAUAAAAGUCAAAGGGCAUAGCUUGUAUGGCAAUGAAUACAGUCCUGGGCAGUUGAGGGUAAGCUAGUUAGGAAGGGUGUAACACAGGAGGGGCAGGAAGCAAGUUUGCUCGUCUGAAAGCCUGCAAGCCUGCAUCAAGGUGUAGCUGCAGAUAAAACCGUGGGCUAAAGAGUAUGGCUGAUUGGUGGGUGUUUUGAAGCCUGCCUUCUAAUUUUUGAAGUUAGUUGAAGUUAACACACAGAGUGAUGGGCUUCCUCAUGGGAUUUUCGUAUGUAUAUGUUAUUACAAUUUAUCCUCAUUCACCCCCUCUCCCAGUACCUUCCCACAUAUUCCUGUUCCCUUCUUGCAGUUCUCCCUCCUUCUCUGCUUUCAUAUUGCCUGUAUUACUUUGCUUUCCCCCCUGCGGUUUAUGGUUUCUUUCUUCUUUCUCAUGGAAUCCUGUCUACUUUCGUGACCCCUGCCACCCCCCCCCCACUUACACACCCUCUAAAUGUAAAUCCCACACAUAGGGGGGAAUGAGCAGUACUGACUUCCUGAGUCUGCCUAAUUUCCCUUUACAUAAAAGGCUCCAGUUCCAUUCACGGAUCUUCUCAUCUGUACUGGUUGAGAGAGCAAGCUUUUAAGAAAAGUGGUGAUGGGGUCAAAUUGCAGGAGUCACUGUUGUACCGGGCACUGGAGGAAAAGUCCUUUCUUUGCCACGACAGUAGACAGUUCCCUCGCUGCUGGGGAGCCUCUCCUUUCUACACCCUUGCUUUAUCAGGGAUGGGCAGACAGGGCGUGGCUUGUUUGUUUUUAGGGACCGCCAGAAGGCCAUCUGUGGGGCAGAGGGAGGUCUUGGCUUUGAGGCUCUGGUCAUCAGUCUAGAACAUGAACUUUUCCCAGACCCAUCUUUUGGGAUGUUCCUGGCAUUCUUGGCUGAUGUUGGAUCACCCUGCCUGUGGGGAGAUGGUAUUCCCAGCUAGGAGGCUCCAGCUUUUCCACUAAAGGACAAAGAUCCCGUAUCCCAAAUGUGGUCUGUGUUGGAACACUGAAUCUGUUAAAAGAAUACGU